UCUCUCUCUCUCUCUCUCUCUCUCUCUCUCUCUCUCUCUCUCUCUCUCUCUCUCUCUCUCUCUCUCCUGUGUCAUCUUCCUCUUUUGUGGUUGAUGAUGCGUCCUCACCACCAGAAAGAGGAAGAUGGCGCAGAGGAUGGAAGGGGUUGGCUUUGGACUCACAAGAUGGCGCAGAAGGAAGAUGUAAGGGGUCGAUUUCGGAUCUGUAAGUCUUGUUUCGCAUCUACUUGCGAAGUCGUUUUUGAAUCUUCUUUCUUUAUAACCAAUUGGUUCAAGUUUCAAUGUUUUCUAAAUCUCCUUUCUUUUUGUAACCAAUUCGUUCAAGUUUCAAUAUUUUCUCGGAGUGCGGCCGCUCUAGAUUCAGAUUUGGGCUAAAAAUUGGUCGGAUCUGUAAGUCUCAUUUCGCACCAGCACAGAUCCGACGCAGAUCUCUGCGUUCCUUUAUUGGGCCAGUGUUUUCGGCCUAUAAAGGUUUAUUGGGCCUGUUGGUCCAAUUGUUGUUUUUAAUUUCUUUCUUAUUAUUUUUUUAAAAUACAACAUCAUUAUUGUUUUUUGUGUUCUGGGCCCGUAGGUAUUGGGCUCGGGCUUGGGCCUGUCUGGUAUUUUUAAUUUCUUUUUGUAAAAAUAAAAUCAAAAUACAUUGGGCUUCAGAAAGCUCCAACUUUUGUUAUAUGGGCAUGUUGGGUUGUUGUGUCCAUAUUGAAGGGAGGUAUGUUUUACCCUUGUUACCCUAGUUGCUCACUAUAAAUGUUAACUCCUUUCUCCUGAGCCUUCAACCCCAUUCUGUUAUGGUUAUUUCCUCUCUCCCUCUCUCUCUCUCUUAUCUCAUCUGUUACUCUGUAUUUCUUUCUCUCACUGUUUUUAGUUACUCUCUAACUUUUCUCUUCUUGUUUUUGGUAAAACAGCAAUGAACAGAGAUAGAACAAGGGAGGGAGCAACACAAUGUGAUUCAUUUCGAAGUCAAAAAAGUAGUUAGUAGCUUAGCAGCUUAGCAAGGCCGAAAAUGCUCCAAAAGCCACAUGUUGAAUGAAAAGGCAAGUGUUAAAAGAAAAAAUCUUUCAUCUUUGGAGCAAUUGAGUUGGUAAAAUCAUGUCUUUUGUGGUAAAAUCAAGCUUUCAUCUCUCUCUCUCNNNNNNNNNNNNNNNNNNNNUUUUAUGUUUACAAUUGCUUAUAUUAGUGAGCCUGAAGUUUCGCUAAUAAUUCUCAAAUAUGAACUUUUUGAGAUUAUGAACCUGAAGUUCAAAUAUUACAGUAGACUUGCAAUUCUAAUUGUUUGCAUAAACCUGAAGUUUUGUGCAUGUACAUGUGAUCCAUUGUUCACAAAAUUCGAACCUGAAGUUUCGAUAUUGAUAUUACUUUCAUAUGAACAUGAAGUUCUAAACAACAUAAUUAGAUCCAUGAUGAUCUAUGUAGUCUUGAAAAAGAGUCUGAAAGACAUGUAUCUAACGGUGAAAUAUCCGUUUAAGUUUUGCCAAACAUCGGUUGAUCAGUUACCAAGAGCAUGAUAUGAAUAGACGCUUUUGCGCCUUCUAAUAUGGAUCAUGAUAUGACUAUAGUUAUGGCUUAACCAUUUUCGGCCCAUUGACGCAUGUCCUAUAAUUUAGUGGCAAUUUACAAAGCCCUCUUUGAAUGGCAAUAAGACCAAAAUUAAUCAUAUUAAUCAGUCUCUUGGGAAAUCUGAGCCAUGGGUGGAUGUCACUUCACCCAAGUUGACAAUGUUUUUGUGGCUAAAUUGAAAUGUUAAAGACAUGAUCAAUGGGGGGUGUUCUUAACACCGAUUAAUAUUAAGCCUAUCAUAAUUGUAUUUUGGACACCGAGUUAUUGUGAUUGAUAUGAGUGCCUUAAAUUAAGGUUAUUAUACGAGUGUAUAUGGUUAAUUUGCUUCCCAAUAAGUGCACAUAAAUAUUUUUCAGGUCAUUAAUCUAGCAAUCAAAUGUCAUUGUUCACAAUUAUGUGCACCAUUUACAAGCAUUUAUAUAUACCAAAUUUCAGCUAUUAAUAACAUGAAAAUUCAUCGGUUUCUUUAUGCGGUUUUUCCCAUUAACAGCCCAAAACAUCAUCAUUCUUAGGUUUUGAAUUAUAUGUAUAUUAAUUAUAUUUUAUUGGUUUCAUUACCUAGCCUGGAUGGAUGUUUCCAUAAUAAGUAGUAGUUUUAGAAUUUUAUGACCAUUGAUAACCUCUAUUUAUUGUUUUAUCAAUUCAGGUCUAGUAAUUGGUUUUUUAUAGCCUCUUUGUUGUGGUAUUAGUCUUUCAUGAAACUUAUUAUUUCCAUAAUAUCAGAUUUAUUAAAGGGACUAAGGUAUGUAUUUUCCCAUUUCAUUAUUUGCAUGAAUUUAAUCUAUUCAUUUCACGACAUUUUUCGUUUUAUGAAUUCCGAGAGAAUUACAGUGAACUCCAUAAUUGAGACCUGAAGCCUCUUUAUCCAACUACAGAGGGCCUGAAGUUCCUCACAAGUAUUUUAUGAAUUCUGAGAGAAUUACAGUGAACUCCAUAAUUGAGACCUGAAGCCUCUUUAUCUAAUUAUAGAGAGCCUGAAGUUCCUCACGAGUAAUAUGAUAAGUGGGGAGAUGUAGGGUAUCAUAGUAACACCAUGGACAUAAAUGAAGGACAUAAGAGGUGUUCUCCCGUGACCAUGUUUCUCGGUCCUUUGUAGGCUGAGACUUCCUCGCUUUAUACUUCAGUGGAAAGAUUAGAGGUUCUGAUAAAAAAGGGCACAUAUAUUGUUGUCUUUCCUCUACCGGUUGCAUCUUUUGUGAUGUUGUCCAGAGUAUCUGACCAUUGGCAAGAUGUUUUUGCUAGACAUCUUACUACCGGCAGUUUUUUCCCGAUCACUCAUCUUAUUGAAAGAUGGUCCUUAUGCAUAUUUAUGAGAAUUGGAGGAAACACGUAACUAAUUAAGCUCUGCAUGUACCCAUUGCAAAUACACUCAUUGUGCAUGUCAUGACAAUAUGACUAAUUCGGCCAACAUAUAUUGAAGAAACAAUAUCAUGGUAUGAGAUUAUGAAAUUCAAAUAUGUUUUAUUUUUCUUAACCUUAUUCGGUUUUGUAAUUAAAAUUGAUCGAAACCUGGAGUUUCUUGAUCAAACUAUAUGAGGGCCUGAAGUUCUUUGAAAAUGAUAUUGUCAAAUGAUUGAAAUGAAGUUUCUCAAAACUUAUGUAAUCAACAAGGACCAGAAGCUCCUUAGAGCUAUACAAUAUAGUUUUCUUGUGAUCCACAAUUAUAUGAUAGCAUGAAGCUCCAAUUUAUUUUGAUACAAUGUUAUUGUGAAAUUAGAGGAGAGAAACAAGAUUAUCAUAUUCGUGAAGGUAACUAGACUAGAAGUUCUUGUACUUCUUCACCAAUGGAACUAUAAGUUUCCAUUCACAUUUUACUUAUCCUUGUUCCUUACCAUUUUAGAGUUUGUUAAUUAUUUUCCUCUUCUAAAUUUUAUUGUUACUCAUACAAGCCAACAACUUUAUAGCACGAACAUAUGAAUUUCAAAUGUCAUGUUUUUUAACCAGAAGUUCAAAUUACUGAAUUAUAGAACAUAAGAAUUCCAGAUAACGUGUAAAUUAAAAGCUCAAGCCCGAAGCUGAGUAUGUAAAUUAAAUUAGUGAACUUGAAGUUUUAGUUCAGUUAUUUGGAACCUGAAGUUUCCGGCACCAAAUUUAUUUGAACUAGAAGUUCAACAUAUGAAAUAUGAGUACUUGAAGUUCUAACAUUAUAAAUUUGAACUUGAAGAUUCGAUUACACAUAUGAUUGAUGGCUCUGGAAGAGCACAUAAUAUCCCCUCUUUACAAGAAGUGGUUUCAAUAUGGUUCCAAAAUAUGUAUUGAGAUCCCACAUCGCCCGAAGGAGGGGAGGAGAUGUGUUGCAAACAUACCUCCCCAUAGUGAAACUAAUUUUGGGUUGGCAACUCAAGCACAAAAUUGUAAAGCGAGCGAGAUCCAAAAUGGACAGUGUCUCGCUAUGUCGCCUAUUACGUGUGUUAAAUUCUACAAUAUAGUGAGACACAUAAUGUCAUGAACCAGAAGUUCAUUGAACCAAAUUAAUUAUUUUGGCAUUACUAGUUACAUCAUAUUUUACCUACAGUGUUGUUUGAAAUCAGUACCAACUUUUGAUGCCAGCUAGCUAACACUACUCAUAGAAAAUUGUUUAUUUGCUGCAUAUUUUUUUGUUGGUUUGUCACUUUAAUGAGACACUUCUCUUGUUAUGAAAGGGAGAAAGAUUGUUCCUGAAGAACAACAUGAAUUGUUGUGGAAUAUUUACCUAUUGUCUCAUUUUGAGUCUGAGGAAUAUCACAGCUAGUAACUUAAUAAAAACUAUUGAUGACAAAAUUAUAUGCUAGCGGAAGAAGAUUUACUUGGGUAAAAUCCCUGAGACCAACCAUAUUAACAAAAAUAACCUUGCCCCCGUUUUAUUUGUGGGAAGAAUGAGAAUCUAAGUGACAUGAUUCUCCUAACGAGAAUGUCAUUAAAAAUGUCCGAGUUCGUAAUAUGGCGGCUACAAUAUUACACAUACAAAGGUUAAAAGUACACAAUCAGAUGAUGAUAUCUUGGUGAUACAAUUAUACAUCAAUAUGGUUGAUACUCAUGAAUUUAAUAUUUUUUGACCUAAACUUGGUUUGGGUUUGCCACCAGCCAAUGGACAUCUUCACUCGAAAGGAAGUGAUAUACAUUUAAACGCAUUUUUAUGCAUGGUCAAAAUAAGACAGUGUUCUCGCCGUUAGGGGGAGAGAAAAGACUACUGUCAUUUGAAUAACGGCGUGAAUUUGGAGUGGAAUGUAUCCACCAGGUCUAAAGUUUUAAGCUCUUGAAAAUGGAAGAUUAUACAUGUCCUAUAAUGUUUUAUGAUAUUAUAAAUAUAGAUCCACAUUCGCUAGAUAUAAUUCAUCUAUGAGAGAUGUUUGUCGUAGAAGUGACAAUAUUUGCCCCAAAAGUGGCAUGGGUACCCAAUAUUAAUAAGCUUAUAAUAGCUAAUGCAUGCAUAUAAAAAUGUGUGAGAUCUAUGAAUGAUGAUCAUCGAUGAAAAUUUACAUAUGGUAGCUACCAAAGACCGUUAAGGACUGUAUGAUGCAAUACCACGUUUCAUUAUGAAUGUCGACAAUGCAUAUUAUUGGCCAAAUUGGAUAGAGGCAAUUCCAAUGAACUGAAUAUAUGAAACGUGAUGAGAUAAUUAGACUUUUAACCCUACAUGAUUCAAAAGGGUUAUUAAUCACAGUGAAAAUAAAUCACUAUAUAUGGCACAAUGUCUACAAGACACAUGGGGAUUACAAAUAUAUUUCCUUAUACGUGACAAUUUUAUGUAAGUACAGUGUUACAUUUAGUUAUUGACAAGAGACUUAUGGCAGUUGUCAUCGUAUAUUAUAAAGAUCUUAAAAGACUUUGCUAAAAGCAAAACCCUCAAAAGUACAGCGUCAUCAUAAGUGUAUCGCAUAUCAAAUCCUUAAAUGAUCCAAGUACAUGAAUGAUUCAAACGUAAAUCGAUCCAUGAAUACUUGAGAGAGUCUGAAUAUGAGAUUGCUUAUCGCUUAAGGGAAAUGACGUAAUGUGCCUUAUACAUGCAAACACAACUCCCACUAGUGAGACGUGCAUGUCUUAAGUUGGAACCCAAGAAGAAAGCCAUGAAGGGGAGGCCCAAAGGCGAGCAUAUCUAGUUAUGUUGGGUUGUUAAACUAAAGUUAACUCAUGCAAUCGAUAGUCUAAAGCUAGCUCAUAUAUAUUUAUUUUGUUAUAGUUAACGUGAUCAAAAUUUCCUCAAUGAGUAUUAUGAUUGGACUACAAAACUGAAUUCGGAUUAUGUUGCUACAUAUUCUAACUUUCGCGAAGUUAUGAAUUGCUUAAAGCUCUUGAAGAACAUAUACGAGAUGUAUCAAUCAAUAAACGAAGAUAUUGAUAUGAGUGGCUAGAUAUGCCAUGCUAAUCUUCCAAUGGUUUUGAACCAUACAUAGUAAUGUGUUAAUUAGCUUCUACUGCUUAGUUAUUACAUAAUGUAUGAAUUUGAACAUGUGAGGUUGUUUCUAACAUUAUAACAUGAGGUAAGACCUAUUAAAUUGUAUAGCUCUGUUGAUAUUGUCUUCACUUUGCAGGUAUGAAAAUCUUGUGAUGAGCCCCUGUAUGCAAAACGAAUAAUAUCUCACUUCCGUAAUAGACAAAUCAAACUGCUAUUUACUGUACAUGAAGCUUACAAUAAUCAGGGGGAGAAUCUCAUCAAAGGGAGCAUCCAGAAGUAUGCUACCUAGGACAUAUACGCGUUGCACUCUUUUUCUCCUUCGACCAGGGUUGUUUUUUCCCACAGGGUUUUUAUUACCUGGUAAGAUUUUUAACGAGACAACACUAAGCGCGUCCAACAUCAGAUUAUUAAUGGACAUCCAAGGGGGUGUGUUGUAAAUAUUAUAAUAUAUGUGGAUGUCCUUGUAAAUACUCAUUAGUUAUGUCCUUAAUAUGUAAAUUAUACUCCUAUAUAAAGGAGUCUAAUGAGAAUGAAAGUGACACUUCUUCCUCCUCUUAUAUUUUGUUCUUCUCUUUUCUCUCUAACUCAUUCUUAGUUUAUAACAUUUCUUAUUAUUUUUUUAAAAUACAACCUCAUCAUUGUUUUUUGUGUUCUGGGCCUGUAGCUAUUGGGCUCGGGCUUGGGCCUGUUCGGUAUUUUUAAUUUCUUUUUACAAAAAUAAAAUCAAAAUACAUUGGGCUUCAGAAAGCUUCAACUUUUGUUAUGUUGGGUUGCAAAAAUAAAAUAAAAAUACAUUGGGUCUGUUGGGUUGUUGUGUCCAUAUUGAAGGAUGGUCUGUUUUACCCUUGUUACCCUAGCUGCUCAUUAUAAAUGUUAACUCCUUUUCUCUGAGCCUUCAGCCCCAUUCUGCUAUGGUUAUUUCCUCUCUCCCUCUGUCUCUCUCUCUCUCUCUCUCAUCUCAUGUUACUCUGUAUUUCAUUCUCUUCUAGGCUGGUUCUUCUUCAACCUCCUCUACUAUCUCAUUGUAAUUGUAUUUCUUUCUCUCUUUUUUCUAACUUAGGCCGGUUCUUUUUCAAAGAAAAAUGGUGCCAAUGUAUGGUUCUCUUUAUCCACUGCUUAUUGUUUUUUCAGUGCUUUCAGUUGUUGUUUAAUUUGGCUAAGAUUAGACUGGAUG
Molecule: long non-coding RNA, 7106 nt
Filed under: Fragaria vesca (wild strawberry)
Lineage: Eukaryota; Viridiplantae; Streptophyta; Magnoliopsida; Rosales; Rosaceae
Description: long non-coding RNA (FVES_LNC000855)
Source: RNAcentral